RNAcentral lists this transfer RNA (69 nucleotides) under Alepocephalus agassizii (Agassiz' slickhead). RNAcentral describes it as "tRNA-Arg". It matches the Rfam family "tRNA". Rfam says of the family: Transfer RNA (tRNA) molecules are approximately 80 nucleotides in length. Their secondary structure includes four short double-helical elements and three loops (D, anti-codon, and T loops). Further hydrogen bonds mediate the characteristic L-shaped molecular structure. tRNAs have two regions of fundamental functional importance: the anti-codon, which is responsible for specific mRNA codon recognition, and the 3' end, to which the tRNAs corresponding amino acid is attached (by aminoacyl-tRNA synthetases). tRNAs cope with the degeneracy of the genetic code in two manners: having more than one tRNA (with a specific anti-codon) for a particular amino acid; and 'wobble' base-pairing, i.e. permitting non-standard base-pairing at the 3rd anti-codon position. The record is from RNAcentral. RNAcentral also lists the same sequence under 2 other names. Lineage: Eukaryota; Metazoa; Chordata; Actinopteri; Alepocephaliformes; Alepocephalidae.
AGGGAGUUAGUCCAAAAAAGACCUCUGAUUUCGGCUCAGAAAAUCACAGUUAAAGUCCGUGACACCCUU